This 178-nucleotide ribosomal RNA is filed under the name uncultured bacterium. RNAcentral's name for it is "partial 16S ribosomal RNA". It matches the Rfam family "Bacterial small subunit ribosomal RNA", at positions 595 to 772 of the family's 1533-position model. The record is from RNAcentral.
UGAAAGACCUCGGCGCAACCGGAGAAUUGCAUCAGAAACUGUUGAACUUGAGUGCAGAAGAGGAGAGUGGAACUCCAUGUGUAGCGGUGGAAUGCGUAGAUAUAUGGAAGAACACCAGUGGCGAAGGCGGCUCUCUGGUCUGCAACUGACGCUGAGGCUCGAAAGCGUGGGGAUCGAA